GACGAACGCUGGCGGCGUGCCUAAUACAUGCAAGUUGAGCGCUGAAGGUUGGUACUUGUACCAACUGGAUGAGCAGCGAACGGGUGAGUAACGCGUGGGGAAUCUGCCUUUGAGCGGGGGACAACAUUUGGAAACGAAUGCUAAUACCGCAUAAAAACUUUAAACACAAGUUUUAAGUUUGAAAGAUGCAAUUGCAUCACUCAAAGAUGAUCCCGCGUUGUAUUAGCUAGUUGGUGAGGUAAAGGCUCACCAAGGCGAUGAUACAUAGCCGACCUGAGAGGGUGAUCGGCCACAUUGGGACUGGGACACGGCCCAAACUCCUACGGGAGGCAGCAGUAGGGAAGCUUCGGGAAUGGACGAAAGUCUGACCGAGCAACGCCGGGGGAGUGAAGAAGGUUGUCGGAUCGGAAAACUCGGUUGGUAGAGAAGAACGUUGGUGAGAGUGGAAAGCUCAUCAAGUGACGGUAACUACUCAGAAAGGGACGGCUAACUACGUG
Molecule: ribosomal RNA, 497 nt
Filed under: uncultured bacterium
Lineage: Bacteria
Description: partial 16S ribosomal RNA
Rfam family: Bacterial small subunit ribosomal RNA
Source: RNAcentral